UAAAAUGUAGUCUAUAUAACUAAGACAAUUGGCUUACAACCUUUAAAAACUCCAUUUUUU
This 60-nucleotide transfer RNA is filed under the name Ichthyoxenos japonensis. RNAcentral describes it as "tRNA-Val". The record is from RNAcentral. Lineage: Eukaryota; Metazoa; Arthropoda; Malacostraca; Isopoda; Cymothoidae.